GGUUACUCGCACAAAGCCGAACUUCGUCCCUUUUCUGUUUCUUUUCAUUGGCGCAAAGGUAUGUACCACCCUCCCUACCUUCUGACAUUGCAUCGUGAACCAACGCCAGUUGAUGGUAAUAGGCACAUUCUCAACAUAUAUCGAAAUGAUCUGAUUGAAAUCAGAAUGGGCAGUGAAACUUAGAGGAGCAAAGUUUGUCCCACUCCAAUGCCCCAUCAGUCAUCUCUCCUAACCCUUCAAACCAUCCCAAAUAAAGUUGUUG
This 262-nucleotide long non-coding RNA is filed under the name Gossypium raimondii (Peruvian cotton). RNAcentral's name for it is "long non-coding RNA (GRAI_LNC001013)". The record is from RNAcentral. Lineage: Eukaryota; Viridiplantae; Streptophyta; Magnoliopsida; Malvales; Malvaceae.